AUUGAACGCUGGCGGCAGGCCUAACACAUGCAAGUCGAACGGUAACAGGAAGAAGCUUGCUUCUUUGCUGACGAGUGGCGGACGGGUGAGUAAUGUCUGGGAAACUGCCUGACGGAGGGGGAUAACUACUGGAAACGGUAGCUAAUACCGCAUAACGUCGCAAGACCAAAGAGGGGGACCUUCGGGCCUUUUGCCAUCGGAUGUGCCCAGAUGGGAUUAGCUAGUAGGUGGGGUAACGGCUCACCUAGGCGACGAUCCCUAGCUGGUCUGAGAGGAUGACCAGCCACACUGGAACUGAGACACGGUCCAGACUCCUACGGGAGGCAGCAGUGGGGAAUAUUGCACAAUGGGCGCAAGCCUGAUGCAGCCAUGCCGCGUGUAUGAAGAAGGCCUUCGGGUUGUAAAGUACUUUCAGCGGGGAGGAAGGGAGUAAAGUUAAUACCUUUGCUCAUUGACGUUACCCGCAGAAGAAGCACCGGCUAACUCCGUG
Molecule: ribosomal RNA, 490 nt
Filed under: uncultured bacterium
Lineage: Bacteria
Description: partial 16S ribosomal RNA
Rfam family: Bacterial small subunit ribosomal RNA
Source: RNAcentral